RNAcentral lists this ribosomal RNA (390 nucleotides) under Triticum aestivum (bread wheat). RNAcentral describes it as "partial small subunit ribosomal RNA". Lineage: Eukaryota; Viridiplantae; Streptophyta; Magnoliopsida; Poales; Poaceae. The record is from RNAcentral.
AUGGCCCUCCUCUAUGGCCUUCGCCAGCUUGCCGUGCACAGCUCCAUCAUGGGCGCAACCGACGACGGAUCGCCCAAGGGCGCCAUCAUGUCCUCCAACGUGAGCUUGAUGUGCGGGAACUCAGGCACCGUGAACGUCGCCGGAUUGCCGUCGCCGUCGACGUCGGCGUGCUGCAGCGCCGGGAACGGGUCGUGGCUGAUGCGCACCUCCCGCAGUACCUGUGUGAACGCCGAGAUGCCUAAGAACGACACCUUCGGCUUCGGGACGCCGAGCGUGGCCGCCGACGCGUUCGUCCAGUACAGGAACGCGUCGGCGACGAGGAGGCUGGCCGGAGGCUCCAUGGCGGCGAGCGACGCCUCGAGCUGUGGCUGGAGCAGCGAAGGCGGCUAA